RNAcentral lists this long non-coding RNA (857 nucleotides) under Homo sapiens (human). RNAcentral describes it as "HSALNT0369548". Lineage: Eukaryota; Metazoa; Chordata; Mammalia; Primates; Hominidae. The record is from RNAcentral.
AGUGACUGGCCUAGCUUCCCAGGCUACAUCUUUCUACUGCGCUGUGCUGGAUGCUUCCUGUCCUUGAACAUCAGACUCUAAGUUCUUCAGUUCUGGGACUUGGACUGGCUCUCCUCACUCCUCAGCUUGCAGACAGUCUAUUGUGGGACCUUGUGAUCUUGGUUCAAGUUAUCAAGGAGAAGAGCGAACAUCACUCAAAGACCUUUCCUCUUCUUCCAGCAAGAAGGCCCUUACCAGAUGCCAGCACCUUGAAAUUGGUCUUUCUAGCCUCCAGAUCUGUCAUUCAUGCAUCUGUGAUCAGCUGCCAGACUGGGUGGAGGCUGGUUCAUCUGAAAUGACUUCAGCUAGGAUGACCUGACUCUGCUUUUUUACAUUUAAGUAUCUUCUGAGGCUUAUUCACACGACAGUAAUAGAGAUCCAAAAGCAAAAUGGGAAAUAUGCAAAAUCUUUCAAGGGCUAGGCACAAAAUUAGUCUGUUAUUUCUACCACAUUUUACUAAUCAAUGCAAGUUAUAAGGUCAGACAAGAUUUAAGGGGUGAAGAAAGAGUGGCAAAGUUGCUAUACAAAGAGGAGUGGAUAUAGGAAGAGAUAAAGAAUUAUGGUUAUUUUUGCAAUCUCAUGCAAAUAGCAUUUUUGCAAUAUAAGUUUAGUUUCAUGGCUUUAUUGAGAAAAGCUUAAAUCAAAAACUGCAGAAUCUUUUUGUGUGUGUUUUUUAUUCCCCUGGCACAUUCUAGCAUAUACUUACAAAUACCAAUUCCUGGCAUGGAUGCAGAUCAACUGCUAAUGAGAAUGCGAAAUAAUACGGCCACUUUGGAAAACAGUUUGAUAAUUUCUUAUAAAAAGUUAAUUAUACACUU